UACGUAGGGUGCAAGCGUUGUCCGGAAUUAUUGGGCGUAAAGAGCUCGUAGGCGGUCUGUCGCGUCUGCUGCGAAAACCCGGGGCUCAACCCCGGGCUUGCAGUGGAUACGGGCAGACUAGAGUUCGGUAGGGGAGACUGGAAUUCCUGGUGUAGCGGUGAAAUGCGCAGAUAUCAGGAGGAACACCGGUGGCGAAGGCGGGUCUCUGGGCCGAUACUGACGCUGAGGAGCGAAAGCGUGGGGAGCGAACAGG
RNAcentral lists this ribosomal RNA (253 nucleotides) under uncultured bacterium. RNAcentral's name for it is "partial 16S ribosomal RNA". It matches the Rfam family "Bacterial small subunit ribosomal RNA", at positions 524 to 776 of the family's 1533-position model. The record is from RNAcentral.